UACGUAGGGUGCGAGCGUUAAUCGGAAUUACUGGGCGUAAAGCGUGCGCAGGCGGUUCGUUGUGUCGGCGGUGAAAGCCCCGGGCUCAACCUGGGAAUGGCCGUUGAAACUGGCGAACUGGAGUGUGGCAGAGGGGGGUGGAAUUCCGCGUGUAGCAGUGAAAUGCGUAGAGAUGCGGAGGAACACCGAUGGCGAAGGCAGCCCCCUGGGCUGACACUGACGCCGCAGGCACGAAAGCGUGGGGAGCAAACAGG
RNAcentral lists this ribosomal RNA (254 nucleotides) under uncultured bacterium. Its description in RNAcentral is "partial 16S ribosomal RNA". It matches the Rfam family "Bacterial small subunit ribosomal RNA", at positions 524 to 776 of the family's 1533-position model. The record is from RNAcentral.